RNAcentral lists this ribosomal RNA (555 nucleotides) under uncultured Burkholderia sp. RNAcentral describes it as "bacterial SSU rRNA". It matches the Rfam family "Bacterial small subunit ribosomal RNA", at positions 359 to 915 of the family's 1533-position model. The record is from RNAcentral. Lineage: Bacteria; Pseudomonadati; Pseudomonadota; Betaproteobacteria; Burkholderiales; Burkholderiaceae.
AGGGACGGAAUCGCAGGCUGAUCAGGGUGUUGCGUGAUGUGUAGAAGGCCUUCGGGUUGUAAAGCACUUUUGUCCGGAAAGAAAACGCCGUGGUUAAUACCCGGGGCGGAUGACGGUACCGGAAGAAUAAGCACCGGCUAACUACGUGCCAGCAGCCGCGGUAAUACGUAGGGUGCAAGCGUUAAUCGGAAUUACUGGGCGUAAAGCGUGCGCAGGCGGUCCGCUAAGACAGAUGUGAAAUCCCCGGGCUUAACCUGGGAACUGCAUUUGUGACUGGCGGGCUAGAGUAUGGCAGAGGGGGGUAGAAUUCCACGUGUAGCAGUGAAAUGCGUAGAGAUGUGGAGGAAUACCGAUGGCGAAGGCAGCCCCCUGGGCCAAUACUGACGCUCAUGCACGAAAGCGUGGGGAGCAAACAGGAUUAGAUACCCUGGUAGUCCACGCCCUAAACGAUGUCAACUAGUUGUCGGGUCUUCAUUGACUUGGUAACGUAGCUAACGCGUGAAGUUGACCGCCUGGGGAGUACGGUCGCAAGAUUAAAACUCAAAGGAAUUGACG